This 497-nucleotide ribosomal RNA is filed under the name uncultured bacterium. RNAcentral describes it as "partial 16S ribosomal RNA". It matches the Rfam family "Bacterial small subunit ribosomal RNA", at positions 28 to 507 of the family's 1533-position model. The record is from RNAcentral.
GAUGAACGCUGGCGGCGUACCUAAUACAUGCCAGUCGAGCGAACAGACGAGGAGCUUGCUCCUCUGACGUUAGCGGCGGACGGGUGAGUAACACGUGGAUAACCUACCUAUAAGACUGGGAUAACUUCGGGAAACCGGAGCUAAUACCGGAUAAUAUAUUGAACCGCAUGGUUCAAUAGUGAAAGACGGUUUUGCUGUCACUUAUAGAUGGAUCCGCGCCGCAUUAGCUAGUUGGUAAGGUAACGGCUUACCAAGGCAACGAUGCGUAGCCGACCUGAGAGGGUGAUCGGCCACACUGGAACUGAGACACGGUCCAGACUCCUACGGGAGGCAGCAGUAGGGAAUCUUCCGCAAUGGGCGAAAGCCUGACGGAGCAACGCCGCGUGAGUGAUGAAGGUCUUCGGAUCGUAAAACUCUGUUAUUAGGGAAGAACAAAUGUGUAAGUAACUAUGCACGUCUUGACGGUACCUAAUCAGAAAGCCACGGCUAACUACGUG